Paramuricea clavata is the source of this 890-nucleotide non-coding RNA. Lineage: Eukaryota; Metazoa; Cnidaria; Anthozoa; Malacalcyonacea; Plexauridae. The record is from the annotation of a GenBank genome assembly.
GUGCUAAUAAUAUGUGACUUGUUCAAUUUACACGUCCCUUGUGAAUUGAACGAGUCACAUACCUGUAUUAUUAGAACUGAUGAAGACGCGGGCUUACGGAUCGAAAGUUUUGCAGCAAUAAAUCUACGUGGUGUUUUCACAAACAAAAAUUAUUAUAGUUAUGUUUUCGCCAUGCAAUCCUACAGAGAACUUAAUUUUUCACUGGUUGCAUGCACAUGCAGAGGGCUCCAUUGCACUUAUCCAAAUCUGCAUGCAUGACCACAAAUCAGCCCUCUUUGCUUUGGCACAGGUAAGUGCAACGGGGGAGGGGGUUAUUGUUACCGUCAUUAAUGUUGCAGCAAGGUGAUAACAACUUGUUCAAGACUUGUAACAACAACUGUGAAGAAGUAGCGCGAACACAUCCUGAUAUCAACUUAACAACAGACUCGUUACAACUUGUUUGCAGAUCUGUAACAACUUGUGCGUUUUUACGUGUGCAGUCAGCAUCAUAAAAACAGUCCCGAAAAUGAAAAAUACUAUCAUAACUUACUUCUUUAGUCUUUGUCUAAGUUUCUUCAUCUGUUCAUUCUUAGUCUGCAGCAUUUGCUUCAUAUUUAUAUAUUGUGUCGUUUGAUUAAAUUUCUUCGUCAAUUCCUGCAAAGGAAACACUCGCCUUAGUGAGAUCUUCAAGCACUCUUUUAACGUAUACAAUACACAAAAUAAUUUGUUUUCAUAUGAGAAACGGCCUAGCCUGGCUAGGUGGGAUCUGAGUCAAAGCAGAUAAAAUUUUUCAUAGCAAGGCUUCAUCCCACCUGACCGGGAUAGAUAUUUUUGCCAAUUUUGAUCUAUAGUGCACGGGAAUUAAAGACAAAGUGGGAAAAUACAAAUAGACCCUAAACAGACAUUAGGGC